Molecule: non-coding RNA, 648 nt
Organism: Onychostoma macrolepis
Lineage: Eukaryota; Metazoa; Chordata; Actinopteri; Cypriniformes; Cyprinidae
Source: the annotation of a RefSeq genome assembly
CCUGCUGUAGUCACACACACAAGAACAAUGAUUAUUUAUUCAGUCAUUCUGUUCUCUGCCUUGACAUGUGUGAGUUUUGGAGAUGAAAUCACAGCAGACAGCACUGAGGAAUCUGCUGCAGUGGGUUCAACUGUUACUUUAUCCUGCAGUUAUUCCUCUGCAAAUACACUUCAGUGGUACCGUCAGUAUCCCGGAUCAGCUCCUCAAUUUCGUGUGCUUAUAAUAGAGAGUGUGAAAGAGACUAUGACAUCUGCUGUAGAUCCCAGGAUCUCUACUAAACUCAAAAAAGAAAAACAAGCUACAAAAGAAAUCAAACAUGUGGAUCUGAUCAUCUCCUCUGCUGCUGUAUCAGACUCUGCUCUGUACUACUGUGCUCUGAGGCCCACAGUCACAGGAAACACAUCAGCACUGUACAAAAACGUGACACAGAUGAAGUGUACAAAAUUUUUUUUUCUAUAAAUAUAGGUAAUUAUAAAUUUAUACUGUAUUAAUAUGACAUGGGGUAAAUCAUAUCGUUGCAGAAGUGGUAUGAUAAAUUAUGCUUAUUUGUUUAAGUAACCACAAGAGGGUGCUAUGCACUAUAGGAUAUGAAUAGUAAUCAAAUGACAGUGGUGUAUAUGAAACAGAUAUGAUUUGAUCUUCUCUCUC